Molecule: ribosomal RNA, 450 nt
Filed under: uncultured bacterium
Lineage: Bacteria
Description: partial 16S ribosomal RNA
Rfam family: Bacterial small subunit ribosomal RNA
Source: RNAcentral
GUGGGGAAUUUUGGACAAUGGGCGCAAGCCUGAUCCAGCCAUUCCGCGUGAGUGAAGAAGGCCUUCGGGUUGUAAAGCUCUUUCGCAAGGGAAGAAAACUUACCUUUUAAUAGAGGGUGAGGUUGACGGUACCUUGAUAAGAAGCACCGGCUAACUACGUGCCAGCAGCCGCGGUAAUACGUAGGGUGCGAGCGUUAAUCGGAAUUACUGGGCGUAAAGCGUGCGCAGGCGGUGUUGUAAGUCAGAUGUGAAAGCCCCGGGCUCAACCUGGGAACUGCGUUUGAAACUACAAGGCUAGAGUAUGGGAGAGGGGGGUAGAAUUCCACGUGUAGCAGUGAAAUGCGUAGAGAGGUGGAGGAAUACCAAUGGCGAAGGCAGCCCCCUGGCCUAAUACUGACGCUCAUGCACGAAAGCGUGGGGAGCAAACAGGAUUAGAAACCCUUGUAGUCC